This 648-nucleotide ribosomal RNA is filed under the name uncultured bacterium. RNAcentral's name for it is "bacterial SSU rRNA". It matches the Rfam family "Bacterial small subunit ribosomal RNA", at positions 61 to 692 of the family's 1533-position model. The record is from RNAcentral.
GUCGAGCGGAAUGACGAGAGCUUGCUCUUUGACUUUAGCGGCGGACGGGUGAGUAACACGUGGGCAACCUGCCCUACAGAUGGGGAUAACUCCGGGAAACCGGGGCUAAUACCGAAUAAUCAGUUUGUCCGCAUGGGCAAACUCUGAAAGACGGUUUCGGCUGUCACUGUAGGAUGGGCCCGCGGCGCAUUAGCUAGUUGGUGGGGUAAUGGCCUACCAAGGCAACGAUGCGUAGCCGACCUGAGAGGGUGAUCGGCCACACUGGGACUGAGACACGGCCCAGACUCCUACGGGAGGCAGCAGUAGGGAAUCUUCCACAAUGGACGAAAGUCUGAUGGAGCAAUGCCGCGUGAGCGAAGAAGGUUUUCGGAUCGUAAAGCUCUGUUGUAAGGGAAGAACACGUACGGGAGUAACUGCCCGUGCCAUGACGGUACCUUAUUAGAAAGCCACGGCUAACUACGUGCCAGCAGCCGCGGUAAUACGUAGGUGGCAAGCGUUGUCCGGAAUUAUUGGGCGUAAAGCGCGCGCAGGCGGUUCUUUAAGUCUGAUGUGAAAGCCCACGGCUCAACCGUGGAGGGUCAUUGGAAACUGGAGAACUUGAGUACAGAAGAGGAAAACGGAAUUCCACGUGUAGCGGUGAAAUGCGUA